GCACUGCUGAGGAGUCCCAUAAUAGGAUGAAACGGCGUCCAGUGU
Molecule: non-coding RNA, 45 nt
Filed under: Schistosoma mansoni
Lineage: Eukaryota; Metazoa; Platyhelminthes; Trematoda; Strigeidida; Schistosomatidae
Source: RNAcentral